Mya arenaria is the source of this 431-nucleotide long non-coding RNA. RefSeq lists it as uncharacterized. The transcript is spliced from 3 exons. The record is from RefSeq and is a predicted model, not a curated record. NCBI's taxonomy places the organism in Eukaryota, Metazoa, Mollusca, Bivalvia, Myida, Myidae.
UUUCCCGCCAUCUAGAAGACUUCAUACUGAAACGGAAGAAAAUGCCGGCGAAAACAAGGAAAAAGCGAGCGUCUCCGUUGAAAUCUGAGGAUAAGAUUGAAGAGACAAGUCCAAAGAAACAAAAGAUAUCAAAAUCUGGUCCAGAUUUUAAGAUAACCAUUGAACAUUGCAAAUCCUGACAGGUGUUCAAGCGCAAGGCCUUGGCUCUCGUUGAGGACUUGCGCACAGAGUAUGGGGAUUUCGAGGUUGAGUACAAUCCCUCAGUCCCCCGACGUGGUAGCUUUGAGAUCAUCAUUCACAAGGAAGGCAAAGAUGAUGUCACUGUGUGGACUGGACUAAAAAAGGGACCUCCAAGGAAGUUGAAAUUCCCUGAAGUUACUGAGGUUGUUCAGGCAAUCAACAAAGGGAUGUGAACUGGACCAAUUAUUAAC